RNAcentral lists this ribosomal RNA (254 nucleotides) under uncultured bacterium. Its description in RNAcentral is "partial 16S ribosomal RNA". It matches the Rfam family "Bacterial small subunit ribosomal RNA", at positions 524 to 776 of the family's 1533-position model. The record is from RNAcentral.
UACGUAGGGGGCGAGCGUUGUCCGGAUUUAUUGGGCGUAAAGAGCUCGUAGGCGGUUUGGUAAGUCGGGUGUGAAAUCUCCACGCUCAACGUGGAGGGGCCACUCGAUACUGCCAUGACUCGAGUCCGGUAGAGGAGUGUGGAAUUCCCGGUGUAGCGGUGAAAUGCGCAGAUAUCGGGAGGAACACCCGUAGCGAAGGCAGCUUGCUGGGACGUUACUGACGCUAAGGCGCGAAAGCGUGGGGAGCGAACAGG